AUUAUCACGAGACCUCUCUGGAAAACUGGACUGCUGUAUCUCCGUGUGUCUUUCUCUCCCGAUUCUUCUCAUCUUCUCCCUCUCCACAUGGUGGCAGAAAAGAUCUCAUCCACAUCCCCUUGCCCGGUCUCCACCUCCACCGGCCCUCCGCCCCUCUCCUCCCCAGUCCCCCUUCCCCCAGCGGGCAGCCUCGAGUUCCCCUCGAGUCGCCGGACCAGCAGAGAUCGUGGCGCUGCUACGGGAGAGCUGCGGCACUGGCGGGCAGAAGGAGGCUGCACAAGGGAUGUAGCCGCUUUUGUCUCGCAGCAUCGGUGCCGAUGCGAUCCAGGACGAGCGUCAUGGCGUUCAAUCUGGCUUGAGGACGGGGUGGUUCAAGAUUAGACAGAGGAGUUCUUCGUGGGGUGGCCUUCCCAUAUUUUUUUUGGCUCCAGGUGACACCUGGCUAUGCUACAUGUGGAUCUGGUGAGUUUUGUUAGCUUCGUCCCUAGACUUCGACUGAUUCCAUGUGGCAACCGGCAAAGUUUGUUUGCUGAUUUCAUAACUGGAGAAUGGUGAAAUACAACGGUAAACAUGGGAAGCAUGACCGCCACCGCAGAGACAUCGAAUGCCUUUUACCAAGGUGCUCCUCCUCUAGAGAGUACCAAGGUGUUUUUGAUUUUCCUACUGCUAUUCUUUGUUGCUACCAAUUGUUGAGUUUCUGAAGAAGAAAAUGCAUUGGGGCUUCAUGUGCAGGUCAAUUCGAAUACGGUACACGAGUUUCUGCAAGAUGUAUCAUCUAUGGCUGAUAACAAUCCAAGUCAUAAUUUUUGCACCAAGGUAAUUGUGGAAAUUAAUUAAUCAUGUAUGCUAAUGACUGAUCCAAGGCCUCAAUUUUGUACCAAGAUAAUCAUGAAAUUAAAUUAAUAAAAGUUAUCCAAUCUUCUGCUAAGUCUGGCAAUUCCUCCCCGUUGGCCAAUUCUGGUCUUGCCAAAUUUACUAAUCCAGGGAUGUCGAUGUUAUUAUAUAUAGUGUCAUGAUUUCAUUUUUAUCGGUGGGAAUGGUAGCUUUUAACAUAGUAAUCGCCAUUUUUCUGUAUUUAUGUGUUAGUAGUGUUGUUGUUCAGAUAAUUGUGGUUUACAAUGAAGUGGGUAACCAUCCGAUAAUGAUAUAUGAAACUAUAAUUUUUUGUCAUUUAAGAGUAUGCAGUUCCUUUUCCAAAUUUCCUUUGCACACUUAAUUGAAAAUCUAUCAUGGAACUACCGGAAGAUUGUUUUACUAUGAAGUUACUGACCAUGGGUCUUUGUUCCCAUUUUCCAACUCCACUGGCUUACUGCUACCACAUUUUACAAUUGAAAUUUAUUUUUCAAGCUUAUUAUUUCUUUGCCUUUUGCCUUUUGUUUUGCACUUCUUCUUAAUUUGGCUCUAUCUACUGGCCUAUGCGCUGAUUUAGGCUGUUUGUUCUCGCAUUGUUUUUCUUUUUCUUCUUUUAUUUACUUUUUACGUCCACUUCUUUUAUAAUUUUAAUCUGUCUGGUGGAUUAUGUGUAGGUUUAGGUUAGCCACUCUAAUAUGUCGAUUCUCCGCAUUCUCCAGGAUGCAAGUUCUACCAGUGUUCAUGCAUAUUGGAACUGACUGAAGAUAUUAGGCUGCAGAAACGUAGGAAAGUAGCAACGCAAGCAAUCACAGUCAAAGAUUUCAUACCUCGAGGGUAUGAGAGGAAUGUUGUUGUGUGCGUACCCCGGAUCUGGGAGAACAUGGAUCAAGAACAAAAUGUCUCUGAACUAGGGUUCAUUGUUGUGGAACAACUGGUACCUUCUGAACAUUGAGGUACUUGAUCCCUCCAUCAUUGCCUACACAUGAGGUCCAUGAGUUAGCAUGUCCUUAUCAUCAAAUUAUUUAUCAAUACUUACUCAUCCUUUAGAUAACGGAAAUUAUAACAGUACAUAUAUCAUCUAAGCUCAUUUAGUUAUCAAUCAGUGUUUGCUCUACUUUCAAAAUGCUUUACCUUUCAGUAUAUUGCAGAAUUACUUGCUAUCUGAAUAUUUACAUAAUUGAUUUAGCCAUCAUCGCUUGCUAACUGAAUAUUUACAUCCUCGAUUUUGCCAUCGCCGUCUGCACACAAAAUGCACGCAAUUAGCUUGGCAUGCAUGCUCUAUUUUUUGUUUUUUAAGACAUAAUACAGCUAACAGUAUGUUUCAGCCUAUAGUGCCACUAAUUGUCGGAAGAGCUACUGGUCGUUUAUACAUGAUGCACGGUAAGGUUAGGCCGCAUGGUCAAAUUCAAGAAGAAACUGAAGAAUGGCUAGAUCUACAGGCUGAAUCUUUCAUGAUUGUCGCUGCCCGGCCCAAAUGCAAGACACCACAUCAUUGUAGAAAGACAUGGGCCUGCCAGCCUGAUUCACUCAUCUAGAAAUCUGGCCGCCACUUGAAGCGCAAGCUCAUAUAGCAAAACACUAUUUUGACAGCCGCUGCCAAGGCUGCACAUGCAACGCGUGACCAGAACAAGCACAGAAGGAAAGAAGGCAGCUAGGAGGCUGCACACAUUACACACAAGGCUUCUUUUCAGACAACCAUUAAGUUAUCUUAUGUAAUGCUCCUUAAGGUGGACAAUAACUACAAAUUCAUGUAUAAUUAGCCAGCUUAGUCAGCACUGCGUCACCAGUCUAUUAGAUGUACCUCGAGACUAUCUUAUGUGAUGCUACUUAAAAUUGGUGUUCUUGCAGGCUUCUGAGAUUUAGCACCUCGAAGAAAUUUAUGGAUGUUUAUUUA
Lolium rigidum is the source of this 2746-nucleotide long non-coding RNA. RefSeq lists it as uncharacterized. Lineage: Eukaryota; Viridiplantae; Streptophyta; Magnoliopsida; Poales; Poaceae. The record is from RefSeq and is a predicted model, not a curated record. The transcript has 2 exons.